GAUGAACGCUGACAGAAUGCUUAACACAUGCAAGUCAACUUGAACUUCGGUUUGGGUGGCGGACGGGUGAGUAACGCGUAAAGAACUUGCCUCACAGAUAGGGACAACAUUUGGAAACGAAUGCUAAUACCUGAUAUUAUGAUUAUAUGGCAUCGUAUAAUUAUGUAAGCUAUAUGCGCUGUGAGAGAGCUUUGCGUCCCAUUAGCUAGUUGGAGAGGUAACGGCUCACCAAGGCGAUGAUGGGUAGCCGGCCUGAGAGGGUGAUCGGCCACAAGGGGACUGAGACACGGCCCUUACUCCUACGGGAGGCAGCAGUGGGGAAUAUUGGACAAUGGACCAAGAGUCUGAUCCAGCAAUUCUGUGUGCACGAUGAAGUUUUUCGGAAUGUAAAGUGCUUUCAGUUGGGAAGAAAAAAAUGACGGUACCAACAGAAGAAGUGACGGCUAAAUACGUG
This 454-nucleotide ribosomal RNA is filed under the name uncultured bacterium. RNAcentral's name for it is "partial 16S ribosomal RNA". It matches the Rfam family "Bacterial small subunit ribosomal RNA", at positions 28 to 507 of the family's 1533-position model. The record is from RNAcentral.